This 353-nucleotide unclassified non-coding RNA is filed under the name soil metagenome. RNAcentral describes it as "partial contains 5.8S ribosomal RNA, internal transcribed spacer 2, and large subunit ribosomal RNA". The stretch from base 5 to 121 matches the Rfam family "5.8S ribosomal RNA", at positions 38 to 154 of the family's 154-position model. The record is from RNAcentral.
GAUGGAAGAACGUAGCGAAAUGCGAUAAGUAAUGUGAAUUGCAGAAUUCAGUGAAUCAUCGAAUCUUUGAACGCACAUUGCGCCCGCCAGUAUUCUGGCGGGCAUGCCUGUUCGAGCGUCAUUACAACCCUCAGGCCCCCGGGCCUGGCGUUGGGGAUCGGCGGAGCCCCCCGUGGGCACACGCCGUCCCCCAAAUGCAGUGGCGGUCCCGCCGCAGCUUCCAUCGCGUAGUAGCUAACACCUCGCGACUGGAGAGCGGCGCGGCAACGCCGUAAAACACCCAACUCUUCUGAAGUUGACCUCGAAUCAGGUAGGAAUACCCGCUGAACUUAAGCAUAUCAAUAAGCGGAGGA